AACAGUUGCAAGAAGAAGCUGCUGGCCAGGCUGAAGCCCUUGGUUUAGAUCUAGAAAAAGCUACAAAGCAGCUUGAGGAUGCCAACAAACAGGCAAAGGAACAAGUUGAGGCAUUUCAUUCUGCUUGCGAGGAAGCUGCAUCCUUGAAAUUCAGGUUAGAGGAAGCCAUUUCUGAGCAGCAAAAACUCAAGGAUGUGAAUGCAGCUUUAACGAGCGCUUGCCAGUUGCUUCAGGAAAAGAUGGAAGAGCAAAAAACAACCGUUAAUGCACUGAGGAAAGAACUGCUUAAAGGGCGACUCUCCAGAUUGCAAUGUCAGGUAUGAAGUUUGUCUGGUGGGAGAAGAAAACAGUCUUGCACAGGAGGUGCUGUGGUGGAAGGGCACUUUUAGUUUGGAUGAGCUACAAGCAAUUCUGUAGCAUCUGUUUUCUUCUUUUCUAACAUGUAUAUUACCAUGGAGGCAAAGUGAACUGUAUAUGCUGAUCUGYACAUAACUAUCUUCCUUCUUCUGUCUUCUGCAAAAAACAGACUGGAGCUUACAGCCGAAGCUGUGGUGUCGGUCUUCACUGUAAACAAUUGCUCGUGAUUGUAUUAACUGGAAGCGAGGGAAGCUUUCUCUGAUGCAUUGGUUUGAUUUGUCCCCCAUAAUCAGCCUUCCCUUCUGCAGAUAGUCUUGAAAAUAACAAUGAAACACUUUGUAAUAAAAUAUUUCUAAUAUCUAGGCA
RNAcentral lists this long non-coding RNA (723 nucleotides) under Apteryx owenii (little spotted kiwi). Its description in RNAcentral is "lncRNA (ENSAOWG00000007348.1)". The record is from RNAcentral. Lineage: Eukaryota; Metazoa; Chordata; Aves; Apterygiformes; Apterygidae.